Long non-coding RNA from Ctenopharyngodon idella (grass carp), 802 nucleotides. RefSeq lists it as uncharacterized. Lineage: Eukaryota; Metazoa; Chordata; Actinopteri; Cypriniformes; Xenocyprididae. The record is from RefSeq and is a predicted model, not a curated record. The transcript has 3 exons.
UUCUGAAUCGCUCACGUAUCCGGAUUUCCACAGGAAACAUCUUUGUGUCCGUCGUUUGGACGAGAGUUACAGGAGAGUCCCGCAGGAUUUCGAGGCUUUAAGUCCGUUCAGGCCAUGGUCUCUUUCCCCGGGAGCCUCCUGUCGUUAAAGCACCUCGCCGACGGCCACGAACACGGACAGCACCAGCCCGGCGGCCAGGACGAUGAAGAUGCCGCCGAUGUUCUGCACGCCGAGCGCACUGGCCUCUUUACUCUCCUCCUCCGGACAGCCGUUCCCUCUCCACCACUUCUCCUUCAUCAUGUGCAGCUUGCCCUCCUCCUGCAGCUGCAGGAUGGCGAUGGUGAUCUUGUCUCGAUACGGGGAGCCUGCGGAGGGAGACGGAAGAGGGCUGAAAUUCGGCUGGAACUGACCUACUAACGAGCGGCAGUGAGUCAGAUGUAAAGCCUCAAUCCGCAGCGGGACGCGUCAGAUCAAAGCGCGUGAAUCUCGAACACCCAGCGCUCGGCUGCCAGACGCCAUUCAACGCCUAUUAGCCUGCGAACACAGAUUCUGGAGCGAGUUUGCGUGUCGUACGAGUCUGAAGCAUGUGUGCGCUUAACAGGAUUACCCAGAUGGGAGUGGGAAGAGGAUUUGCACAGAUAAAGAUGGAUAAAUAUUUCCUUUUCUAUUUUCUCCACCCCCACACAACUCCUUACAGAUAUUAAUGUUUAUAUAAAGCCUCUCAUCAAGAGCGCUCAGAUCAUCUGCUGUCGAACAGGAGAAUCAUGGGAAAUGAAACUAGUUAAGUCUGUUUUACCCAUGG